RNAcentral lists this ribosomal RNA (307 nucleotides) under uncultured bacterium. RNAcentral describes it as "partial 16S ribosomal RNA". It matches the Rfam family "Bacterial small subunit ribosomal RNA", at positions 506 to 807 of the family's 1533-position model. The record is from RNAcentral.
UGACAGCAGUCGCCGCGGUAAUACGGAGGGUGCAAGCGUUAAUCGGAAUUACUGGGCGUAAAGCGCACGCAGGCGGUCUGACAAGUCAGAUGUGAAAUCCCCGGGCUUAACCUGGGAACUGCAUUUGAAACUGUCAGGCUGGAGUCUUGUAGAGGGGGGUGGAAUUCCAGGUGUAGCGGUGAAAUGCGUAGAGAUCUGGAGGAAUACCGGUGGCGAAGGCGGCCCCCUGGACAAAGACUGACGCUCAGGUGCGAAAGCGUGGGGAGCAAACAGGAUUAGAUACCCCUGUAGUCCCUGUCUCUUAUAC